GUCACACUUUUAUAAACAGGAGUUUAUUAGCAAAGAAAUAGCAACUAUAUUAUAGAUGGUGAAAUAUAUUGAAUUACACUAAUAUUGCACAAACAUCAACAACAUUGACCUUAAACAGGGAUUAGAUACCCCUUUAUACAAUGCAAACAAACUUUGCGGAGCACUACAGCCAUCAUGGCCCAAACUUAAAAAUCAUGGCGGUAACUUUAAUUUAGGGGAACUUACCAAGUAAUUGACAACCACCAAGGUAAAUCAACCAUAGAUAAUUCCUGUAUGCCGUCGUCGUCAGGUAAAACUUAACGUUUUACCAUAAAGUAAAUCAAACAAAAGACAGAUCAAGGUGCAGACAACUCUAUGGGUUAGGCGAGUUACAAUUGGCAUAUUCUAACAGACGAGUAAAGUAUUCUACAGAUGAAGUUGGACUUAACAGUAAUUUAUAUUAACAAUACUUAAUGAAGAAAUAAAGUUGUGCACAA
This 476-nucleotide ribosomal RNA is filed under the name Camaenidae sp. SQ6. RNAcentral describes it as "partial 12S ribosomal RNA". The record is from RNAcentral. Lineage: Eukaryota; Metazoa; Mollusca; Gastropoda; Stylommatophora; Camaenidae.